This is a long non-coding RNA of Xenopus tropicalis (tropical clawed frog), 1156 nucleotides long. RefSeq lists it as uncharacterized. The record is from RefSeq and is a predicted model, not a curated record. The transcript has 4 exons. Lineage: Eukaryota; Metazoa; Chordata; Amphibia; Anura; Pipidae.
UAAAUUACUAGUAGUUUAAUACUCUCCAUGCUACUAGAGAUAAUGUUGAGGGGAUCUGCCAUCACAAAAUCAUCAGGGAGAUCAUUCCAGCCUCAUGGAAAGAAGAAACAGAAGAAACCACAACUGUUGGAACACACUGGAAAAACCCUUAGACAGCUGGCCUGGAAGAAAGAAGUUCUCUCGCUCACAGGUGAAUUUUUCUGCUAACAGGGGUACCAGCCCGGGAUGAGACUUCAGUAACAGAACUCUCUGUAUAGAUGAUGCCCUCUUGACCAAAGCUGUGAGUGUCCGACAUGCUUCUGCAACUCUCAAGUGAAGGAAAUCAGCCAGCAUGCAGCAUUCCCUUCAUUACCAAUGAACUAAAGUCAAACUCUUUACAGAGUUUGGGUUAACUCUAAUUAGGCCUUCCAGCUGCCUGCCAGUGUUGUAGGAGGGGACUGUCCUUCAGGUUCAGGUUAAUUAAAACAUUCCAUCAGAGUUAAGUCAUUUUUAGUAAUUUCCUUAGAUCCCCUUCCCAGAGAGCAUCUCCUGACACUAGGAGCAGUGCCUACACAUGGAUUAUUUAUUCAUUGAUGACCCAUACUGCUUCAGAAUCAGCUCAAGAUUCCCUUUUCUGCUCAGCUACUGGAGAACUCGGGAACAUACUGCUGAGUAAAAGCCACAAUGUUGGCCUGUCAUCACAUUUAUCAUCCAAACUGCCAACUCCAAUAGAAGAACACUUCUCAGGCCUUUGUUUUUUAUGCCAUGUGUUCUUGGCUUGGAGACUUCAGCCCAGCGCUAUAGUGUGCAUUGAGUGCAUCUAUUCCCAGGCUCUGUUGUCUCAGAUGCCUUUAUAUUUGACAUUUUCUGGAAAUGACAUCAUCACAUUUUAUGCCUGCUGCUGACUAAUGGUACAGCCUGGAGAGCUUUUAAAAAUAUUUCGGCUGUAUCCAGUGGCGAUAAAUAAGCCUAAAGUCUGGAACGCACAGCAAAGGCUUUAAGGAGUUUCAGCAGAAAAGCACCACUGUGCAAAGUUCAUUUAUCCAGGUUUCUUCAUACUAGAGGACUAUCUGUGCUCUUUUCCUUUUCCUGCAGGACACUAAGAAUUGUCUUUAUAGAUUUUAGAGGGCAGCCAAUAGCAAAAACUGAAAACUCUUAAUAAAUCUUUAAUUAUCCA